AAACCAACAGGGAUUGCCCUAGUAACGGCGAGUGAAGCGGCAACAGCUCAAAUUUGAAAUCUGGCGUCUUCGGCGUCCGAGUUGUAAUUUGUAGAGGAUGCUUCUAGGUAGCCACCGGUCUAAGUUCCUUGGAACAGGACGUCAUAGAGGGUGAGAAUCCCGUAUGCGACCGGCCCGGCUCCUUCCACGUAGCUCCUUCGACGAGUCGAGUUGUUUGGGAAUGCAGCUCUAAAUGGGAGGUAAAUUUCUUCUAAAGCUAAAUACCGGCCAGAGACCGAUAGCGCACAAGUAGAGUGAUCGAAAGAUGAAAAGCACUUUGGAAAGAGAGUUAAAAAGCACGUGAAAUUGUUGAAAGGGAAGCGCUUGCAACCAGACUUGUAGGCGGUGUUCAGCCGGUCUUCUGACCGGUCCACUCACCGUCCGCAGGCCAGCAUCAUUCGCGGCGGUCGGAUAAAAGCGGUGGGAAUGUAGCUCCCUCGGGAGUGUUAUAGCCCACUGCAGAAUACGGCCAGCUGCGAGUGAGUCCGCGCUCGGC
Molecule: ribosomal RNA, 535 nt
Filed under: Neophaeotheca triangularis
Lineage: Eukaryota; Fungi; Ascomycota; Dothideomycetes; Neophaeothecales; Neophaeothecaceae
Description: eukaryotic LSU rRNA
Rfam family: Eukaryotic large subunit ribosomal RNA
Source: RNAcentral